This 253-nucleotide ribosomal RNA is filed under the name uncultured bacterium. RNAcentral describes it as "partial 16S ribosomal RNA". It matches the Rfam family "Bacterial small subunit ribosomal RNA", at positions 524 to 776 of the family's 1533-position model. The record is from RNAcentral.
UACGAAGGUGGCUAGCGUUGUUCGGAUUUACUGGGCGUAAAGCGCGUGUAGGCGGGUCGUUAAGUUGGGGGUGAAAUCCCGAGGCUCAACCUCGGAACUGCCUUCAAAACUGGCGACCUGGAGCAAGAUAGAGGCGAGUGGAAUUCCGAGUGUAGAGGUGAAAUUCGUAGAUAUUCGGAGGAACACAAGUGGCGAAGGCGACUCGCUGGAUCUUUGCUGACGCUGAGACGCGAAAGCGUGGGGAGCAAACAGG